RNAcentral lists this ribosomal RNA (495 nucleotides) under uncultured bacterium. Its description in RNAcentral is "partial 16S ribosomal RNA". It matches the Rfam family "Bacterial small subunit ribosomal RNA", at positions 28 to 507 of the family's 1533-position model. The record is from RNAcentral.
GACGAACGCUGGCGGCGUGCCUAAUACAUGCAAGUAGAACGCUGAAGGAGGAGCUUGCUUCUCUGGAUGAGUUGCGAACGGGUGAGUAACGCGUAGGUAACCUGCCUGGUAGCGGGGGAUAACUAUUGGAAACGAUAGCUAAUACCGCAUAAGAGUAGAUGUUGCAUGACAUUUGCUUAAAAGGUGCAAUUUCAUCACUACCAGAUGGACCUGCGUUGUAUUAGCUAGUUGGUGGGGUAACGGCUCACCAAGGCGACGAUACAUAGCCGACCUGAGAGGGUGAUCGGCCAAAAUGGGACUGAGACAAGGCCCAGACUCCUACGGGAGGCAGCAGUAGGGAAUCUUCGGCAAUGGACGGAAGGCUGAACGAGCAACGCCGCGUGAGUGAAGAAGGGUUUCGGAUCGGAAAGCUCUGUUGUAAGAGAAGAACGAGUGUGAGAGUGGAAAGUUCACACUGUGACGGUACCUUACCAGAAAGGGACGGCUAACUACGUG